Molecule: ribosomal RNA, 415 nt
Filed under: uncultured eukaryote
Lineage: Eukaryota
Description: bacterial SSU rRNA
Rfam family: Eukaryotic small subunit ribosomal RNA
Source: RNAcentral
GAAACGGCUACCACUUCCAAGGAAGGCAGCAGGCGCGCAACCUUACCCUAAUCUCGAUUCGAGGAGGUAGUGACAAAGAAACUACCGAUGCGGACCCCUACGGGUGCCGCGUUCGGAAUGAGUACGAUUCGAACCACCUAACGAGGAACGAUCGGAGGGCAAGUCUGGUGCCAGCAGCCGCGGUAAUUCCAGCUCCAAUAGCGUACGUUAAAGUUGCUGCAGUUAAAAAGCUCGUAGUUGAACGUUCGGGUUCCGCGGGACGGGGCCGCCCCGCGAGGGACGGCGCCGCCCCGGGGCUCGUGAUAUCUUAUCUCGCCGCCCGUCGCGAGGCGGACGGAGGGAUGGAUGAGGUUACCUGGAAAAAAUCGGGGCGAUCUAGGCGGGCGAACCUCGCCAACGAACGAUCGGACAUGGG